Molecule: long non-coding RNA, 2817 nt
Filed under: Carassius auratus (goldfish)
Lineage: Eukaryota; Metazoa; Chordata; Actinopteri; Cypriniformes; Cyprinidae
Description: lncRNA (ENSCARG00000065714.1)
Source: RNAcentral
GCCCUGAGGUGACCAACUUAAAACAGGUGACUCGUUUUGGAAGCAAAACAAACACAAGAAGGGGAUUUGGGCUGGAGGCAGCUGUGGAUCCUGCACGCUCAGCUGGUGACGCACAAAGAAACAGGUGACGGCGACGGGAUGUUUGCCCUGCAAGGGUGCCGCCACGUGCUUCUUUCCCCUGGAACGAGCUCUCCCAGUAAAAUCUGCACCUGGCCUGGUGGUCUUGGCAACAUCGGACAACCUCUAGCAGAUGUUCUCCUCUCUUUUGUCGAUGACUUCGCGGUGGCUGCUCUGCAAGACAAAACUGCGGAUCAUCUCAUGGCUUCCUCUGCUGCAGAGAUCAUUAAUGAUGAUGAGGCUUUACUCCGUCACUGGAUCCGGGGUGAAAGUUGCCCUUUGGCUGUGUGACAGACAGGAAGAAAGGGACGCUCAGGCUAGUGUGAAGAUGUUUUUUUCCUCACUAAGAGCAGAGUACCCCAGGUCGUUCAAUCUCUACCGUACUGCAUAUUCCUGUUCACCUGACAUUAGGCCCCGGCUCAGUCCCAAAAGCAGCCUGCACCCCGCUGGGUCCAUUCCAUUAUAUACUCCAUGCACACUUUGUCGGUCAUACUAAAAGCCAAGCCUGGGGAGCAAGGAGAGGUUAAAAGGUAAGAAAUGUGCCUCAGCCAAAUGAGCGAGUGGUUUAGGAAGCUGAUUGCUCUGAUCCGAUUGGGCAGAUGGUUGAAUUGUGGUAUCUCUCAUCUUGCUCUACAGUAUAUGGUUAGAUUGGAUAAUUAGGUUCAGGUCAUUGUCUUUACUCUGAAUGUAAGUCAUUAUGAGUCCAUUUAGUUAUUUCCUAUUGUUAUAGAGGUAAUUAGCCUCCCUCAGUGUACCUGACUGCUACAACUAAAGAAAAAAAACCCCAUCAAUGUCUCAAACCUGCUUCUUUUUUUUAGGUGAAAAAAUCAGUGUAGGGAAAUUUUAAGCCCUGCUUUCUUUAUUAGACUAAUGGACAUUCACACCUAAUAAAAGGACUUUUCAGAUAUGAAACAUAUUAAACAGACAGAAAUCCUGAUAUGAGAAGAUGUUGAUUUGAGUGUUAGUGAUGAACGUGCAUGUAGUACAAAAUCAAGUCCUUCUUCUGCUUCAACAUAUCCACUGGUCAGAGCAAAAAGACAGAAAGUAGGCUGAGAAUGUUUUGUUUUUUAUUAAUUUAGUUUUUGAAAGAUGGAGAACUGUAUGUCGAUUCUUUCAACAACCAAGAGCAAUUUCCUCUUGUAACAUCAAUACAGCAGUACUUUGCUCUCAACAGUGCUUUUCAAAAGACCUUGAUGUUAAAGAUUCAACUUGACUGCACCAGUGUCCUUAAAUUAAUUUUAAAAGUAAAACAGUAGUAUUGUGGAAUAUACAGAUUAAAAUAACUCAUUUCUAUUUUAAUAUAUUUAUAUAUAUUUUUAUUCCAGAUUUUUUCCAGUGUCACAUGAUUUAAAACCCAUUUCUCCUUAAGUCAAAGCCAUUAGUUUCUUAUCAUAAACAGUACAGGACAAAUUACAUUGUGAAGAUGGUAAACAUGUCUAACCACAAGAAUAAUGAUAUUUGCUACAACAUCCAUCUUUCUAGUUUGAGCACAGUGGUUGGAUUCCUCCACUCAUGCAGUACAGCACCUGUGAAUCACAUGGGUGACAGAGAGGUCAGGGUCGUAUGUAGACAGAGGAUUUUGUGCGGAGACUACGGUGACUGUCUGUCACACAAAGACAAAUACUGUUUUCCCUGUAAAACAGGCAUAUGAAAUGGUUUCGCAGCCAGCCAAACUUCCCGAAUCCUCUUCUAUGGAGAGAUGCCAAACCACAGAAGAGAGAAUAAGGGAAGCCAAGAAGAAGAGAAAGAAAGAGCUGAAAGAGAAAAAUAGAGACAGGUGAGGAGUGAAGAGAGACAGAGACUGUGUGUGUUUGGGUCUCUAAAUGGCUCACUUAAUAGAGUUUACAGUUAGAAUAAAUCUAGACCUUAAUUUUGUCUUUUUUUUCUACUUAACAUCGCUUAAGAAAAAAAUGCUGUUUGCAUGUAUUUGCUGAAGGUGAUAAGGUAUAUUUUGAUGCAUUAGAGCUGACCAGUAAACCAAUAAUCAAGCAGAAAACAAUCAACAGGCUGUAAAAGUCUUUUCAAGUAUAUAUAUUUAAAUAAUAUGAAUAUGAAUAGCCUAUUAGUGUCUGAACAUUAAAAGUCAAGAAUAUGAAAUGGCCUUAAAAAAUAAUAGCCGAAGUUUGAGAAAUCUUCCACCCCCUGAAACACAAGUUGAUUACCGAGAACGGAGGGCAGCCGCACGCAGGGUUCAAUUAGUCAACCAAUUAGCGCUGGUCCGAGCGCGGCGGGAGCGCGCCUCUGUGUGACCGACAGGUCUCGCCGAGCAGCCGUUACAGCGCUAGCGUCCGUAGCCAGCUUGAUUUCUGGGGUUCCGGUGGGCAGUCAGGAUGUUAUUAUCGAGGUCUGGAGUCAGCAGCUUAAGUGGCGACCUGGUUUAGAUUCGAGACGCACACAGCGCAGCGGUGCGAUGAACACGAGAUCAACGCCACUUAUAACGUGCGACAAAUGUGGGCUCUCGCGCACGCAGGUCCAAUUCCAAAAAAAAAUCAAAAAGGUUCCAAAAGGAAGUUUUGGCAGUAAUUAGCCAUUUUUGGUCCCCCCCAAAACCUUUCAUUGAACGGUUCUUAAAAUAUAUAUAUUUUUCAAAGUGAAGAUUUCAUAAUCUGAAGAAACAUUUUCCACAUUCCACAUUUUCACAAAAAUAACCUCUUUUAUUCAAUGGAGAGGUUCCAAUAAUGGUUCUUUAUGGAAUCAUGG